GACGAACGCUGGCGGCGUGCUUAACACAUGCAAGUCGAGCGGUAAGGCCCUUUCGGGGUACGACGAGCGGCGAACGGGUGAGUAACACGUGGGUGACCUGCCCUCAGCUCUGGGAUAAGCCUGGGAAACCGGGUCUAAUACUGGAUAUGACUCCAUGACGCAUGUUGUGGGGUGGAAAGCCUUGUGCGGCUGAGGAUGGGCCCGCGGCCUAUCAGCUUGUUGGUGGGGUGAGGCCUACCAAGGCGACGACGGGUAGCCGGCCUGAGAGGGCGACCGGCCACACUGGGACUGAGACACGGCCCAGACUCCUACGGGAGGCAGCAGUGGGGAAUAUUGGACAAUGGGCGCAAGCCUGAUCCAGCGAUGCCGCGUGUGUGAAGAAGGCCUGC
Molecule: ribosomal RNA, 389 nt
Filed under: uncultured bacterium
Lineage: Bacteria
Description: bacterial SSU rRNA
Rfam family: Bacterial small subunit ribosomal RNA
Source: RNAcentral